AUAGGAGGUCCCGCCUGCCCUGUGACCAAAAGUUUAACGGCCGCGGUAUUUUAACCGUGCAAAGGUAGCGCAAUCAAUUGUCUUUUAAAUGAAGACCUGUAUGAAUGGCAUAACGAGGGUUUAACUGUCUCUUUUUUCAGGUCAAUGAAACUGAUCUGUCCGUGCAGAAGCGGACAUAUUAACACAAGACGAGAAGACCCUAUGGAGCUUUAGACGCCCACCAACCGCGAAAAGCAGCCUACCUAAACAGAUGCCCUAAACAACGCGGUCCUGGUACAAACGUCUUCGGUUGGGGCGACCGCGGAGGAGAACAAAGCCUCCGAGAGGAAUGGGAACGAACCCUAAAACCAAGAGCCACAGCUCUAAGUCACAAAAAAUUUGACCGACAAUGAUCCGGCUUACUGCCGAUCAACGGACCAAGUUACCCUAGGGAUAACAGCGCAAUCCCCUCCCAGAGUCCAUAUCGACGAGGGGGUUUACGACCUCGAUGUUGGAUCAGGACAUCCUAAUGGUGCAGCCGCUAUUAAGGGUUCGUUUGUUCAACGAUUAAAGUCCUACGUGAUCUGAGU
RNAcentral lists this ribosomal RNA (569 nucleotides) under Sardinella aurita (round sardinella). RNAcentral describes it as "partial 16S ribosomal RNA". It matches the Rfam family "Bacterial large subunit ribosomal RNA", at positions 1845 to 2610 of the family's 2925-position model. The record is from RNAcentral. Lineage: Eukaryota; Metazoa; Chordata; Actinopteri; Clupeiformes; Clupeidae.